This 2636-nucleotide long non-coding RNA is filed under the name Haliotis rufescens (red abalone). RNAcentral describes it as "uncharacterized LOC124114977, transcript variant X1". Lineage: Eukaryota; Metazoa; Mollusca; Gastropoda; Lepetellida; Haliotidae. The record is from RNAcentral.
ACAGACACUAGGGGUUUUGGUGAGGUCUGGUUUGGGUUUUGGAUUAUGAUCUAAUGUUUGAAAGAAUAGAGGAGCCAUCGGUAACCUACAGAGCAUUAUGGCUCAUUAGUUAAAAGUAAUAUAUAUACUAAUAACUGCUUCGUAGAAACAUAAAUGCUAGAUAUUUCUGCACACUGUUGGCCAUUGUCAGUAUUAUCAUAAGUUAGCAUUUUGACACUACUCUAUAUUUGCCUCUCCUCUAUGUUUCCUCUACAGGAAACUUAAAUCAUGUCUACUUAUAUUAGGAACUAUUCAGAAAGGACCACGUGUAAUCAGUCACAAUAUUACAACAUAUCUAUUAACAGUUUUAUUUUGUUUCAAAUGGUCAUGGCAGUCAUGUUGGAUUUAGUUGGUGGUGAAAUAUGUUAUGGUACAAUACUUUGAAUACUUUAACCCAAAGUGUGUAUUUCUUCCGUAUUCUGAUUUUGUUUCGGUUGAUUUCGUCAAUUAACACCAACUGAUUUUUAUAACUCUAAAUCUAAGCUUCAACACUAAAGUGUCUGAUAUAUGCCAGUUUAUAAUUUUUACAAUUACCAUCCACAGGAAUGGGCAAUGGUCAUACAAUAUAUUUAUCAUUAAGGCAGUUAAUUGUAAUGAUUACAGUAUGCUGUACUCAUCUUAUGAUAGUUACUUUUCUUCUUGAUCAGAUGUCAGUUACAAAAAGCUGCAUAUACGGUGUUGCUUGAAUACAUACAAAAAUAAUCCAUACUGAAGUCCAGAUUAAUGCGCCAGCUUUUAUUUACAAGGUGAAUGAUGAUGGCCCCACCGUAUUAUUACCCCAGUGUUUGGAUCAAUGUACACUCACAUUUCAUUUUCACAUCCCUGGGGAGUACGUAUUCCAAGCCGUUGUAUCAGGCUCCAGAAGUUUGACAAAGACAUUACCUUCUCGUCGUACCGGAUAACCAGUCACUUCUCCUACAAACAUCCUUAUACUCUAACAAUUAAGAAAAAAACUCACAAUUUUCGGUUUUUUUAAAAUAAGGAAUCCAGUUCACAUUCGAGUUCCAUCACACAAUGAAGAAUAUUUGAUGAUAUGUAGGUAAGAUAGAUAGAGAGAGGUCCAUGGUUUUCCUUGCUUCCUGAACAACGAGUGUCACUAUUGCAGUUUAUUAGACUGUAUAGCAUGUCCUAACACCUCUAAAACCUGAAGGCAUGUCAAUUCCUCUUUUGUACUGGAUUCCAAAGCUCCAUAAUUGUUGUCUGCAGCGCAUGGCCGUCCGUCAUCGCAAUGUCUGGGUACCGUUUCACAAAGCAGUCGUAAGCCUUACGUGCGUGUAAAACUGGCGUAACUCGGAAAUACUGAACUAGGGGCGUUUCACAAAGCUAGUGUAAUAUUACGUCCGUGUAAAAUUGGCGUAAACUCUACGUGUGGUCUUGGGGUGGUGUAAAUAUUUACGCAAGCGAUAAAGAUGGCGAUCAAUCCAAACACGGACGAGAUUGCCAAAAAAGUAUGUAAGCGAGAACGUGUUUUCCGCGACAGGUCGAACCCCCUCGACGAUUUGGAUGAUCAUGACAUCAUCGAGAGGUACCGCCUAUCACGACACUUGAUAUUUUCUAUCAUUGGUAAAGUGAGUGACAGACUUGAACAUCAAACCCAGCGUUCCCAUGCAAUACCACCUUACCUUAAUGUUUUAAUUGCUCUGAGAUACUUCUUCAAGGGUGGAUUUUACAGUGAGAUUGCCGAUAUCCACUGUGUGAGUAAAUCCUCUUUCUGCAGAGCAAUCCACGCAACAACAGACGCAUUAUGUGCAACCAUGGGUGAUUUUGUAUUUCUCACAAUGCCUUCCACUGAGAAGAGUACCAAAGAAUCAUUCUUCGACACAGCUGGAUUCCCUAAAGUACUCGGUGCAAUUGAUUGCACACUCGUACCCAUAAUGGCGCCGAAACGUGACGAAGUAGCCUACGUUUGUCGGAAGGGUUACCAUGCACUGAACAUACAGGCAGUAUGUGAUGCCAACAUGAGGUGAGAUACAUACACACAUGGUAGAUAUGAAUUUUAUCAUGAAUCAAUUAUUCCUAUUCCUCUUGAACAAGGCACGACAAAAUGUAAACAUUACAACAUGAAAUAGAUGUCCUUGACAUUGACGCAUGCUGCGCCCCCUAGGUAACGUUUUUGGCGAGUUAAGUCAUGAUGCAUACCAGUAAAAAUGAAUCCAUUGUGAUAAUGUUUUCAAAUUUCCAUUGUUUCCAUGUAGAAUAACUGUUCCAUAAUUGAAAUGUGAAUUCAUAGUGUUUAUUUGUAGGCAGAUGUAGAUCUCUAAAUGAGCUUUAUAAAGUUAUGCAUGUGCAUUUUAAAUACUGGAUUUCUGUUGGAUUUAUAUGGAUAUAAAUUGUUAUAUUUUUCUGUGUGUUCAAGUGGCCUGGCUCUCUCCAUGACAGUUACAUAUGGAAUAACUCUGCCCUUGGUCAGUACUUUGAAAAGAAAAAUAUUGAUGGAUGGCUACUUGGAGACUCUGGAUACGCCUGCAGACCAUGGCUGCUGACCCCUGUGCUCAAUCCCAGCUCGGAAGGACAGGAGAAAUACAAUAGAUGUCAUAUCAAGACACGGAACACAAUAGAACUGUCCCUAUGGCGACAACACGUUGACUGGCCCAUGU